This 62-nucleotide transfer RNA is filed under the name Ixodes granulatus. RNAcentral describes it as "tRNA-Arg". The record is from RNAcentral. Lineage: Eukaryota; Metazoa; Arthropoda; Arachnida; Ixodida; Ixodidae.
AAAAUAAAGCGAUAUUACAAUUGCAAUCAGUUUCGACCUGAGCCUAGAGGACCUCUAUUUUU